This 265-nucleotide ribosomal RNA is filed under the name uncultured Alphaproteobacteria bacterium. Its description in RNAcentral is "partial 16S ribosomal RNA". It matches the Rfam family "Bacterial small subunit ribosomal RNA", at positions 36 to 324 of the family's 1533-position model. Lineage: Bacteria; Pseudomonadati; Pseudomonadota; Alphaproteobacteria. The record is from RNAcentral.
GUACCUGGCGGCACGCCUAACACAUGCAAGUCGAACGAAGUAGCAAUACUUAGUGGCAGACGGGUGAGUAACAUGUAGGUAUCUGCCCUUUGGCCUGGAAUAACACGAGGAAACUUGUGCUAAUACCGGAUAAGUCUUUACGGAGAAAGCUUUAUGCACCAUUGGAUGAGCCUGCACUUGAUUAGUUUGUUGGUGGGGUAAUGGCCUACCAAGACUGUGAUCAAUAGCUGAUUUGAGAGGAUGAUCAGCCACAUUGGGACUGAGA